GGACCAAUCAGCAGGACAUGGGCGGGGACAAAUAAGGGAAUAAAAGCUGGCCACCUCCACGCAGUUACAGCAACCUGCUGGGGUUACCUUCUAUUCUGUGGAAGGUUUGUUGUUUGUUUCACUCUUUGCAGUAAAUCUUACUGCCGCUCACUCUUUGGGUCCAUGCAGCCUUUAAGAGCUGUGACACUGUGAAGGUCCGCAGCUUCAGUGUGCAGCGUCAGUCUUCAAGUCAGCCCGACCAAGAAUCCCAGGAAAGAACCAACUCUGGACAUCCUCAGUGGUGACUAAUUCCUUGCUGCUUCCUCAUGGGAGAUAAACUCAUGCUCAUGUAAGAAGAACAUCUGUCUUGGGCUAGGAGGAGCACAGGAAGAUGCCUUUAUCUCAAGAGCUAGGAAAUAAGGCAACUGUAUUAAAUUGUCAAGGGAGGACAGCAGACCAACAAGGAUGAAGAAGCUUGAAAAGUUCUUCAUUGCAGGGUCCAGUCAUUCUCUCUAAUGAUUUGCUGCUCCUCAAAAGAAUGUCUACACUCCCGAUCGCCCCUUUUGCCAUGAAAAAAGUUGAUGUUCACUGAACCUUCAGAGGGUGAAGAGGAAGCUUUUCCUUGACUUGUACACAGGCUGGAAAUAAAUAACCUCCGCUUAGGACACCCCUGGCAGGGGCUUUCCAAACCACUUCCAACCCUGGAGAGAAAGAUAAUGAUGUGCCCAAACAAAUCAAUGGUCCCUACUGGCACCUAUCAAACUGGCCAUGCCCAUGCCCAUUCUGGGCCCAUAUGGAAGCUCUGUUUGCACCUUUUGGUUGACCUCUGAGGAGCAGCUUGGAUACCUCCUUCCCCUUAACACUGUAGAGGCUCUCUCUGCAACAGAACUCCCUACAUCUCACAGCACCAGCCUCCGUUCUCCUACCAAGUGUGAUUUGUGUGUCUAGCCUUCUCUAGGACUUCUGCCAGAUUGGCCUCUCUUCAGGUACGGCUAGGAGAGCCACAUUCAAAACCAAGAAGAGAAAGGAGUCAUAGAGCCACAGCCAGAAUGUUUAGGAUCCAAGGUGGCUGCCAGGACUCCAGAUGUCACAUCCCUUUCCCAAGCAGCAGGAUGGAGAGAGAAAGAGAGAAGGUCGUCCAGUCUCUCUUUGAGAAGACUUCCUGGAAGAAUUGCACAUCUGCAGAUGUUCCGUGGAGCAUCAUCACCAAAAAUUCACACGAAACUGCCACUAGAAGCAAAUGGAGAAAGCACACGGCAGGACUGGGUGUCUUUAAUUGCCAUUGCGAACAUGUGUCCAGCUGCACCACGUGAAUGAUUUGCGGCGCAGCCGGGACCUGGCUCAGUUCUCUUGACACGUACAUCAACUCGCAAGCACUGAAGUGGCAAGGCUGUUUGCAGAAGACAUUUAAGGCAAAAAUAGAUUGCAUCUUAAAAAAUGACAUUCUGCUUACAGCCGAGGAACUCAGAUGAACUAAGAUACGGUGUGCAUGAUACCCUUCCCUUCACUUCAUCACCUUCUCGCUAUUGACACCCUUAUCUUCUCCAAGUCUCCUUACAGGACAUAGGUGGCACACUGAAGAAAGCUUCAAUGCAACAAUAAUUUACAAUAACAUGGGCACAGUAAUGGAAAACAGCAAAGAACUGUGAGGAACUUUGCUGGCACUUUUUCCAGGGCCAGCAGCUGGAAAGAGGGGCCACAAAACAUCAGCAAGGAAACUGCUGUUCUAAAAGAAAGACACAAGAAGCUGUGCUUCCAGAAGAGAAAAGUAGUCAGUGCCACCCCAGGAACCUGGCAUGGAGGGAUGCAGUGGUGUAAUGCCACUCUCUCCUUGCACCACCCAGAAGUCCAGCCCAUCCUGGGGACAGACGCAUGCUGAAAGUGGAGGGCGGGUCUGGAAGGGCAAAAGCAGAUGGCCCAGCAUAGCCCACCACUUUUCUUUGUCAACAUCAAGUAUUUCUGUGUCUGUACGAAAAACCAAGGUUCUGUCCCAGGGAAAUGACUGAGUCCCAUCAGCUACAGGAUCAUAACAAGGAGAUGUCGAUUCAGUCAUACUUGCCUGAAAGCUACAGCACCUUGAACGGUUCACCCAACCACCUCAUCUGCAUGUGGUUCCCGUGGCACGUAAAGCCCUAACUGGGUGGUCUCAGUUUCACACCGCCAUGAUUUUGUUUUCUGCUGGAAGCAUUUCCCCUUAUCACCAGAGCCUCCAAACCUAGAAAAGCCAAGAAAGCAGAGAUGGAAGCAAUUCCUGAUGUGGGCUAUUUGGGGCAAAACUGGUAUCUCCCCUUAUGUCCCCCGUGAGUAAGCAUUCCACAGACAGUUUCAAAACAUUAUGUUGUAUACUGAUGUACGCCAGAAAUAAUAAAACCAUCAGAAUUCCCUGUCAGUUGCUGAUUCUCUAAUAAAAAUAAAUCCAACCUUGGCCCCUAAUAUAACUGAAGAUAUUUGAAGAUAAGUCAUGUCUUUGUGGAUAUGAUAAUAUGUGAGAAAAUUAGUUUCUCCAUGAUAAACAGGUUAUGUGAAAACUCAUUAACCUCCACAGGUUUUGAGGAGUUUUUCCCAUUUAAAUGCCUGUUAUGUUUUGACUUGCUGAGUCUUCUGAAGCCUCACUCUUUUGCAUUUCUUUUUUUUUUAAAGAAGUAAAAAAAACUUUA
Molecule: long non-coding RNA, 2636 nt
Organism: Gorilla gorilla gorilla (western lowland gorilla)
Lineage: Eukaryota; Metazoa; Chordata; Mammalia; Primates; Hominidae
Exons: 11
Source: RefSeq, a predicted model, not a curated record